AUAAAAUUAGACAUGACUGUUGCUAUGAAAAGACACAGUAUAAAUAAGUUGAACUAUCUUGAUGACAAUGCCUGCUGCAUUUGGUAUCUUGGUGUAGUUCUAAAAGUGUUAUUAAAUCACGGGAUGAAUGGAUCACGAUGAUCAACAAAACCACUUGCUACUUUUGUUCUCGUUGCCCCAGCAAGGCUGCUCUGGUCUUUGAACUGGAAUGGAAGCCGGCUGUCACCUUGAGCCUCAACUCCCUUGUUUAUGCAGCUCUGUCAGAACUUUCCACCAGGACUCAGACCCCAUCCCUGGCCAUCCAGUCAUGGUAGGGAGGGCAGGUAUGUACAUUGUUAAAGAAAACAUGUAGCUUUGCGUUUUUAAAGAAGAGACACAUUAAAAAAUCAUACUCAGGGCGCCUGGGGGGCUCAGUCAGUUAAGCGUCUGACUUUGGCUCAGGUCAUGAUCUCGCAGUUUGCGGGUUCGAGCCCCGCGUCGGGCUCUGUGCUGACAGCUCGGAGCCUGGAGCCUGCUUCGGAUUCUGUGUCUCCCUCUCUCUCUGCUCCUCCCCUGCUCAAGCUCUGUUCUCUCUCUCUCUCAAAAACAAACUAAAAAAAUCAUACUCAAGUGUGGCUACAUUAUAAUUCCAAGCACAUUUCAGAAAGCCAUCUCUAUAGAGAAUAUUUUCCCACAAACAUGAUCAUUGCUAAUAAGAAUAUUUGACAUUGGUUAGAAAUACCAGGAGCUCUGGCUUUAAGGGGCAAUUUCUAAGGUUUAUGAAA
This 764-nucleotide long non-coding RNA is filed under the name Felis catus (domestic cat). Its description in RNAcentral is "lncRNA (ENSFCAG00000040349.2)". The stretch from base 400 to 484 matches the Rfam family "tRNA". The record is from RNAcentral. Lineage: Eukaryota; Metazoa; Chordata; Mammalia; Carnivora; Felidae.